RNAcentral lists this ribosomal RNA (253 nucleotides) under uncultured bacterium. RNAcentral describes it as "partial 16S ribosomal RNA". It matches the Rfam family "Bacterial small subunit ribosomal RNA", at positions 524 to 776 of the family's 1533-position model. The record is from RNAcentral.
UACGGAGGGUGCAAGCGUUAUCCGGAUUCACUGGGUUUAAAGGGUGCGUAGGCGGGCAGGUAAGUCAGUGGUGAAAUCUCCGGGCUUAACCCGGAAACUGCCGUUGAUACUAUCUGUCUUGAAUAUCGUGGAGGUAAGCGGAAUAUGUCAUGUAGCGGUGAAAUGCUUAGAUAUGACAUAGAACACCCAUUGCGAAGGCAGCUUGCUACACGAUCAUUGACGCUGAGGCACGAAAGCGUGGGGAGCAAACAGG